RNAcentral lists this ribosomal RNA (253 nucleotides) under uncultured bacterium. RNAcentral describes it as "partial 16S ribosomal RNA". It matches the Rfam family "Bacterial small subunit ribosomal RNA", at positions 524 to 776 of the family's 1533-position model. The record is from RNAcentral.
CACGUAGGGCGCAAGCGUUGUCCGGAAUUAUUGGGCGUAAAGAGCUCGUAGGCGGUCUGUUGCGUCCGCUGUGAAAACUCGGGGCUUAACCCCGAGCCUGCAGUGGAUACGGGCAGACUAGAGGUAGGUAGGGGAGAAUGGAAUUCCCGGUGUAGCGGUGAAAUGCGCAGAUAUCGGGAGGAACACCGGUGGCGAAGGCGGUUCUCUGGGCCUUCCCUGACGCUGAGGAGCGAAAGCGUGGGGAGCGAACAGG